This 218-nucleotide long non-coding RNA is filed under the name Elaeis guineensis (African oil palm). RNAcentral's name for it is "long non-coding RNA (EGUI_LNC036928)". Lineage: Eukaryota; Viridiplantae; Streptophyta; Magnoliopsida; Arecales; Arecaceae. The record is from RNAcentral.
CCCGCGGCUAGUUGUCAUGUUGUUUGAAUUUUGAAAGAGGCAUGGGAUUUUCAAAUUAGAUUAGAUUUGGUAGGGAGAUCGAGGAUCGGCUGAUGGCAUAGUUUGCAGGAACGUCUUCCCAAUUCAGAUAAUCAGGAUAGGUGGUCAAAGUUAGAUGGACGAAGUCAGGAUCGGUGAUUGGUAGUCGAAGCAAAUAAAUCAAGAGAAUCUGUUAGGCU